RNAcentral lists this ribosomal RNA (597 nucleotides) under Salmonella enterica subsp. enterica serovar Infantis. RNAcentral describes it as "bacterial SSU rRNA". It matches the Rfam family "Bacterial small subunit ribosomal RNA", at positions 1 to 587 of the family's 1533-position model. The record is from RNAcentral. Lineage: Bacteria; Pseudomonadati; Pseudomonadota; Gammaproteobacteria; Enterobacterales; Enterobacteriaceae. RNAcentral also lists the same sequence under 2 other names.
AAAUUGAAGAGUUUGAUCAUGGCUCAGAUUGAACGCUGGCGGCAGGCCUAACACAUGCAAGUCGAACGGUAACAGGAAGCAGCUUGCUGCUUCGCUGACGAGUGGCGGACGGGUGAGUAAUGUCUGGGAAACUGCCUGAUGGAGGGGGAUAACUACUGGAAACGGUGGCUAAUACCGCAUAACGUCGCAAGACCAAAGAGGGGGACCUUCGGGCCUCUUGCCAUCAGAUGUGCCCAGAUGGGAUUAGCUUGUUGGUGAGGUAACGGCUCACCAAGGCGACGAUCCCUAGCUGGUCUGAGAGGAUGACCAGCCACACUGGAACUGAGACACGGUCCAGACUCCUACGGGAGGCAGCAGUGGGGAAUAUUGCACAAUGGGCGCAAGCCUGAUGCAGCCAUGCCGCGUGUAUGAAGAAGGCCUUCGGGUUGUAAAGUACUUUCAGCGGGGAGGAAGGUGUUGCGGUUAAUAACCGCAGCAAUUGACGUUACCCGCAGAAGAAGCACCGGCUAACUCCGUGCCAGCAGCCGCGGUAAUACGGAGGGUGCAAGCGUUAAUCGGAAUUACUGGGCGUAAAGCGCACGCAGGCGGUCUGUCAAG